This 583-nucleotide ribosomal RNA is filed under the name uncultured bacterium. Its description in RNAcentral is "partial 16S ribosomal RNA". It matches the Rfam family "Bacterial small subunit ribosomal RNA", at positions 355 to 940 of the family's 1533-position model. The record is from RNAcentral.
UGGGGAAUUUUGGACAAUGGGCGAAAGCCUGAUCCAGCAAUGCCGCGUGUGUGAAGAAGGCCUUCGGGUUGUAAAGCACUUUUGUCCGGAAAGAAAUCCUUGGCUCUAAUACAGUCGGGGGAUGACGGUACCGGAAGAAUAAGCACCGGCUAACUACGUGCCAGCAGCCGCGGUAAUACGUAGGGUGCAAGCGUUAAUCGGAAUUACUGGGCGUAAAGCGUGCGCAGGCGGUUUGCUAAGACCGAUGUGAAAUCCCCGGCUCAACCUGGGACUGCAUUGGUGACUGGCAGGCUAGAGUAUGGCAGAGGGGGGUAGAAUUCCACGUGUAGCAGUGAAAUGCGUAGAGAUGUGGAGGAAUACCGAUGGCGAAGGCAGCCCCCUGGGCCAAUACUGACGCUCAUGCACGAAAGCGUGGGGAGCAAACAGGAUUAGAUACCCUGGUAGUCCACGCCCUAAACGAUGUCAACUAGUUGUUGGGGAUUCAUUUCCUUAGUAACGUAGCUAACGCGUGAAGUUGACCGCCUGGGGAGUACGGUCGCAAGAUUAAAACUCAAAUGAAUUGACGGGAUCAUAGCUGUUUCCU